CACUCCUGCGGGAGGCAGCAGUGGGGAAUAUUGGACAAUGGGCGCAAGCCUGAUCCAGCCAUGCCGCGUGAGUGAUGAAGGCCCUAGGGUUGUAAAGCUCUUUCACCGGUGAAGAUAAUGACGGUAACCGGAGAAGAAGCCCCGGCUAACUUCGUGCCAGCAGCCGCGGUAAUACGAAGGGGGCUAGCGUUGUUCGGAUUUACUGGGCGUAAAGCGCACGUAGGCGGACUAUUAAGUCAGGGGUGAAAUCCCGGGGCUCAACCCCGGAACUGCCUUUGAUACUGGUAGUCUUGAGUUCGAGAGAGGUGAGUGGAAUUCCGAGUGUAGAGGUGAAAUUCGUAGAUAUUCGGAGGAACACCAGUGGCGAAGGCGGCUCACUGGCUCGAUACUGACGCUGAGGUGCGAAAGCGUGGGGAGCAAACAGGAUUAGAAACCCGAGUAGUCCCAUGA
This 450-nucleotide ribosomal RNA is filed under the name uncultured organism. RNAcentral describes it as "partial 16S ribosomal RNA". It matches the Rfam family "Bacterial small subunit ribosomal RNA", at positions 334 to 800 of the family's 1533-position model. The record is from RNAcentral.